This 253-nucleotide ribosomal RNA is filed under the name uncultured bacterium. RNAcentral's name for it is "partial 16S ribosomal RNA". It matches the Rfam family "Bacterial small subunit ribosomal RNA", at positions 524 to 776 of the family's 1533-position model. The record is from RNAcentral.
UACGGGGGGGGCAAGCGUUGUUCGGAAUUACUGGGCGUAAAGGGCUCGUAGGUGGCCAACUAAGUCGGACGUGAAAUCCCUCGGCUCAACCGAGGAACUGCACUCGAUACUGGCUGGCUUGAGUCCGGGAGGGGAUGGUGGAAUUCCCAGUGUAGCGGUGAAAUGCGUAGAUAUUGGGAAGAACACCGGUGGCGAAGGCGACCAUCUGGACCGGAACUGACGCUGAGGCGCGAAAGCCAGGGGAGCGAAUGGG